Molecule: ribosomal RNA, 589 nt
Filed under: Paenibacillus sp. ApA8
Lineage: Bacteria; Bacillati; Bacillota; Bacilli; Caryophanales; Paenibacillaceae
Description: bacterial SSU rRNA
Rfam family: Bacterial small subunit ribosomal RNA
Source: RNAcentral
ACUCCUACGGGAGGCAGCAGUAGGGAAUCUUCCGCAAUGGGCGAAAGCCUGACGGAGCAACGCCGCGUGAGUGAUGAAGGUUUUCGGAUCGUAAAGCUCUGUUGCCAGGGAAGAACGUCCGGUAGAGUAACUGCUAUCGGAGUGACGGUACCUGAGAAGAAAGCCCCGGCUAACUACGUGCCAGCAGCCGCGGUAAUACGUAGGGGGCAAGCGUUGUCCGGAAUUAUUGGGCGUAAAGCGCGCGCAGGCGGCUAUUUAAGUCUGGUGUUUAAACCUUGGGCUCAACCUGAGGUCGCACUGGAAACUGGGUGGCUUGAGUACAGAAGAGGAAAGUGGAAUUCCACGUGUAGCGGUGAAAUGCGUAGAUAUGUGGAGGAACACCAGUGGCGAAGGCGACUUUCUGGGCUGUAACUGACGCUGAGGCGCGAAAGCGUGGGGAGCAAACAGGAUUAGAUACCCUGGUAGUCCACGCCGUAAACGAUGAGUGCUAGGUGUUAGGGGUUUCGAUACCCUUGGUGCCGAAGUUAACACAGUAAGCACUCCGCCUGGGGAGUACGGUCGCAAGACUGAAACUCAAAGGAAUUGACGG